Molecule: ribosomal RNA, 522 nt
Filed under: Drusus croaticus
Lineage: Eukaryota; Metazoa; Arthropoda; Insecta; Trichoptera; Limnephilidae
Description: partial 16S ribosomal RNA
Source: RNAcentral
GUCUUUUUGAUAAAUAAUUUAAAGUCUAAUCUGCCCCCUGAAAUUAUUUUAAAGGGCUGCGGUAUUUUAACCGUACAAAGGUAGCAUAAUAAUUAGGUUUUUAAUUGAAAUCUAGAAUGAAUGAUUGGACGAGAUACAAGCUGUUUUAUAAUAAUUAAUUAAAAUUUAAUUUUUUAGUCAAAAAGCUAAAAUUUUAUUAAAAGACGAGAAGACCCUAUAAAUCUUUAUAAUAAAUUUAUUUUAAUAAAUUAUUUUAUUUAAAUUAGUGAUUUUAAUAUUAAAUUAUUUUAUUGGGGUGAUACAAAAAUUUAAUUAACUUUUUUAUUAAAAUUCCUUAAAUUAAAGAUUUAUAAAAAUAUGAUCUAUUAUUAAUAAUUCAGAGAGUAAGAUACUUUAGGGAUAACAGCGUAAUUUUAAUUUUAAGUUCUUAUUAAAAUUAAAGAUUGCGACCUCGAUGUUGGAUUAAAAUUUAAUUUAAAUGCAAAGGUUUAAAAAUUAAGUCUGUUCGACUUUUGAAAUUUU